RNAcentral lists this long non-coding RNA (699 nucleotides) under Vulpes vulpes (red fox). Its description in RNAcentral is "lncRNA (ENSVVUG00000020861.1)". The record is from RNAcentral. Lineage: Eukaryota; Metazoa; Chordata; Mammalia; Carnivora; Canidae.
UUCUUUGAUGUUUGGUAUUAAUGUUUUCAUACAAUGAAAGGUGAUAAAGUAAUGCUGUUUUUAUUGUGCACUGGGAUUGCUAAUUGUUAAAAUUACAUCGUGUUUCCUUCCGUUUCAAUUCCUUUAUGACUUAAUAAUGUCAUGGCCAUCACUCAACAGGUCAGAUUACUCUCCCACUGUGUUAUCCUUCCCCUUGUCUUUUUCUCUCUUUCCUUAUUUAAAGGAGACUUUUGCCUUUUCCAGAAUGACAUACCAUCAAAUAAUGCACAAAGCUAAGGAAGAGUCUUGCUUCUUCACUUUGAGGAAUUAACGGGAUUUUAAGUUGAAGUCCAAGAUAAGAACAUGAUAAAUGCUUCCAAAAUGUGAGAGACAACAUUUAAGAAAAUGCCAUUGCCUUAACCACGGUUGAUAUUUUGAAAUAAUCCUUGACGUUAUCUGUCCAUUGUGCUUUCUCUUCCCUUCAGAACCUCCUCAGACUCUACCCCUGUGAUAAUUCCCACACUGUUUCCCUUAGCAAUGCCUGUCUCUGUUUUAAAUAUUUUUGGCAAGCCUUUAAAUCUUUUCUUCUUUGGUUUUGGUUGUAUAAGAUAGAGAAGAUCUUGAUUUCCACACGUCUAUAGUCACUAAUGGUAACUGUUUGCUAUCGACUUGCUUCACAAUCUCAGAGACAUCUUAAAUGUACAUAAUCAAGAGUUAAAG